Molecule: ribosomal RNA, 247 nt
Filed under: uncultured bacterium
Lineage: Bacteria
Description: partial small subunit ribosomal RNA
Rfam family: Bacterial small subunit ribosomal RNA
Source: RNAcentral
AGGACGAACGCUGGCGGCGUGCUUAACACAUGCAAGUCGAACGAGGCGCUUGCGCCUAGUGGCGAACGGGUGAGUAACACGUGAGCAACCUGCCCUUGGCUCUGGGAUAGCCUCCGGAAACGGGGAUUAAUACCGGACAUGACCUUCUCCUGCAUGGGGGAGGGUGGAAAGUUUUUCGGCCAGGGAGGGGCUCGCGGCCUAUCAGCUUGGUUGGGGGGUAACGGCCCACCAAGGCGACGACGGGUAG